Molecule: ribosomal RNA, 424 nt
Filed under: uncultured bacterium
Lineage: Bacteria
Description: bacterial SSU rRNA
Rfam family: Bacterial small subunit ribosomal RNA
Source: RNAcentral
UGAGGAAUAUUGGACAAUGGUGGGAACACUGAUCCAGCCAUGCCGCGUGCAGGAAGACUGCCCUAUGGGUUGUAAACUGCUUUUAUAUAGGAAGAAAAAGAGAUACGUGUAUCUUACUGACGGUACUAUAUGAAUAAGGAUCGGCUAACUCCGUGCCAGCAGCCGCGGUAAUACGGAGGAUCCAAGCGUUAUCCGGAAUCAUUGGGUUUAAAGGGUCCGCAGGCUGUUAGAUAAGUCAGAGGUGAAAGUUUGCAGCUCAACUGUAAAAUUGCCUUUGAUACUGUUUAACUUGAGUUAUUAUGAAGUGGUUAGAAUAUGUAGUGUAGCGGUGAAAUGCAUAGAUAUUACAUAGAAUACCGAUUGCGAAGGCAGAUCACUAAUAAUAUACUGACGCUGAGGGACGAAAGCGUGGGGAGCGAACAGG